GAGUGUAGAGCAGGUGAAAAUGUUUGUUUUAGAUGUGGAGCAUCCGAUCACUUUAUCCGGGAUUGUCCUGAAACAACUAAAAGAGAAGAAAUAACGAGUGCGAGAUCAGGUAAUGCUCCUACCAGAGGUAGACCGCAGAGAAACCCAGGAGUGGGGGCGAGUAAUAGGAGUGCAUCCAGAGAUUCAGCAGCGAGAUCAGAUGUUAGAGCACCCGCGAGAACAUAUGCUAUUCGUGCUCGUGAAGAGGCGUCCUCUCCUGAUAUAAUUACGGAUCAAGAAGUACGAAACUCGAGGUUAGACAAAGGGAAGAAUAAAGUUGAAGACUAAGUUGGUGAAUUUGGCUAUAAUUGGUACCGAGUAUUGCAAAGCUACUUCAAGGAUCCUAAAGAAGUCGGAGAUCGUCCACACUAUCAACCACAACCGCU
Gossypium raimondii (Peruvian cotton) is the source of this 425-nucleotide long non-coding RNA. RefSeq lists it as uncharacterized. Lineage: Eukaryota; Viridiplantae; Streptophyta; Magnoliopsida; Malvales; Malvaceae. The transcript is spliced from 3 exons. The record is from RefSeq and is a predicted model, not a curated record.